This 253-nucleotide ribosomal RNA is filed under the name uncultured bacterium. RNAcentral describes it as "partial 16S ribosomal RNA". It matches the Rfam family "Bacterial small subunit ribosomal RNA", at positions 524 to 776 of the family's 1533-position model. The record is from RNAcentral.
UACGUAGGGGGCAAGCGUUGUCCGGAAUUAUUGGGCGUAAAGAGCGUGUAGGCGGUCCGGUAAGUCAGCUGUGAAAGUCAAGGGCUCAACCCUUGAAAGCCGGUUGAUACUGUCGGGCUAGAGUCCGGAAGAGGCGAGUGGAAUUCCUGGUGUAGCGGUGAAAUGCGCAGAUAUCAGGAAGAACACCAACGGCGAAGGCAGCUCGCUGGGACGGAACUGACGCUGAGGCGCGAAAGCGUGGGGAGCAAACAGG